CAGAUCCGGCCCCCUAUCAGAAAAUAGACACUGUCGUCCAAAUUCACUGCGCUUUUUCUGAUAUGUGUAUAAAACAUUGCAUGCUCAGUAUGGUGUGGUUGGGUUGGACCAAAUUAAUUUAAAAUUCAAGGGUUUAAUUUUCGGUUGUAGUUAUUCUAGGAUCAAAUAAUACAGAACUUAAUCCUCAACGUUUUGAAUUCGAAGAGCGUUCAGAAGAGUUAAAAUUAUUGCACAAUUUUUCCUCACUAUUAGCGAUUAGCAUGAAACUUUCAUAUUUUUCAAGUGACUGCUGUCUUCAGUUACUUGGUUUACACAAGAAAUCAACAAUUUUUAAUAUUCAAAAUAAUAAUUAGAGCCACUGCAAAAUAUGGCAAAUCCAUGUGCAAACUUUAAGGUGUUACAAUUAGGCUGUAUGUAGAAAGUUAAUAAAUAACAAUAUCAACAGUUAA
Dendroctonus ponderosae (mountain pine beetle) is the source of this 449-nucleotide long non-coding RNA. RefSeq lists it as uncharacterized. Lineage: Eukaryota; Metazoa; Arthropoda; Insecta; Coleoptera; Curculionidae. The record is from RefSeq and is a predicted model, not a curated record. The transcript has 2 exons.